UUUAUUUUCCUGUCACAUUCAUAAAUUAGUUGAUCGGAGGAAGCGAGAUCGGUGGGGACGCUGAGGAGUGAGAGAUUGGCGAAUCUGAUUGGAUGCUACUGCAAAGGAGAUGAGAGGCUGCUUGUGGCGGAGUUCAUGACUCAUUUGUUGGUUUAAACUUCACUGCCUUCAGUUCUUCUCUUCUCUCUCACGCUCUCUCUCUUGCUUCUCUGUGUGAUUUUUUGGUUUAACUUCACUCCUUCAGUUCUUCUCUUGCCAAAUUUGUCUCUCGAUCUCCCCCUCGUGCUCUGUCUCUCGAUUUCUCAAAAUAUCCAAGAGAACACACAGGUCCAUCGAACCUCUCGAUUCAUCCUGCAGAGCGAGUCGAAUUUGGAGGUUGAAGGGGAUCAUGAUGUUAAACAGCAAUGCGAACGAUGGAUUACUACACUCCUUGAGAACAAAACUUGAAAGCGCAUUACCAUUACAAUCUCGUAGUUCCAUAUACAGAGUCCCAGAAACACUACGAAGGUACAAUGAAAUGGCCCCAAAUCUGGUUUCAAUUGGGCCAUUACACCAUGGAAGAGAGCAUUUG
Prunus avium (sweet cherry) is the source of this 571-nucleotide non-coding RNA. The record is from RefSeq and is a predicted model, not a curated record. NCBI's taxonomy places the organism in Eukaryota, Viridiplantae, Streptophyta, Magnoliopsida, Rosales, Rosaceae.